RNAcentral lists this ribosomal RNA (254 nucleotides) under uncultured bacterium. Its description in RNAcentral is "partial 16S ribosomal RNA". It matches the Rfam family "Bacterial small subunit ribosomal RNA", at positions 524 to 776 of the family's 1533-position model. The record is from RNAcentral.
UACGUAGGGUGCAAGCGUUAUCCGGAAUUAUUGGGCGUAAAGAGCUCGUAGGCGGUUUGUCACGUCUGCUGUGAAAACUGGAGGCUCAACCUCCAGCCUGCAGUGGGUACGGGCAGACUAGAGUGCGGUAGGGGAGAUUGGAAUUCCUGGUGUAGCGGUGGAAUGCGCAGAUAUCAGGAGGAACACCGAUGGCGAAGGCCAGGUCACUGGGCCGCAACUGACGCUGAGGAGCGAAAGCAUGGGGAGCGAACAGG